Long non-coding RNA from Gopherus evgoodei (Goodes thornscrub tortoise), 326 nucleotides. RefSeq lists it as uncharacterized. The record is from RefSeq and is a predicted model, not a curated record. The transcript is spliced from 3 exons. Lineage: Eukaryota; Metazoa; Chordata; Testudines; Testudinidae.
CACGGGAGAAAACGGCCGGUGGCUCCGGCACGAUGCCCCAGGGGCCGGGCUUGUCUCACGCGGAGAUCGGCCGAGUCACCCUCCCACCACAAGUGGCUGCAGGUUGCGGCAGCUGCUGGGCCGUGGCCGGCAGCACGGGCUGGGACCAGCUGUACGGCACAGAGAGAAGUAAGUAGGGUUUGGACAUCAUGACCGUUGGGCUCUCUCAAGGAAUGUCAAUAAAACACACUUUCAGAGAAACAGGCUAUAAUGUCAUAUGAGAACACAUCCCAGGAGUCUCUAUGAAGAGAACCGAAACCCCAUAACAUUAAGCCAAUCAAGUAGAG